Unclassified non-coding RNA from Cebus imitator (Panamanian white-faced capuchin), 326 nucleotides. It matches the Rfam family "Metazoan signal recognition particle RNA". Rfam says of the family: The signal recognition particle (SRP) is a universally conserved ribonucleoprotein. The record is from Ensembl. NCBI's taxonomy places the organism in Eukaryota, Metazoa, Chordata, Mammalia, Primates, Cebidae.
UCUGGGGAGUGGUGGCACAUGCCCGUAGUCCCAGCUACUCGGAAGGCUGAGGCGAGAAGAUCGCUUGAGCCCAGGAGUUCUAGGCUUAGUGCAUUAUGUCGUUUGAGUGUCUGCACUAAGUUCGGCAUCAAUAUGGUGAGCUCCGGGGAGCGGGGGACCACCAGGUUGCCUAAGGAGGGUGUGAACCAGCCCAGGUCAGAAACAGAGCAGGUCAAAACUCCCGUUCUAAUCAGAAAGCCCUCUGGCUCCCAGAUUAAGGCUACACUGUACUGCUGAAUGGACAGAGCCUAAAUUCCUGUGCCUAUUUACAGUUAAAUCUACCACAA